UACGUAGGGGGCAAGCGUUGUCCGGAAUUAUUGGGCGUAAAGCGCACGUAGGCGGCAUUGCAAGUCGGAUGUGAAAUCCCUCGGCUUAACCAAGGAAGUGCAUCCGAAACUGCAGUGCUUGAGUACUUAAGAGGAUCGCGGAAUUCCCGGUGUAGAGGUGAAAUUCGUAGAUAUCGGGAGGAACACCAGUGGCGAAGGCGGCGAUCUGGGAAGAUACUGACGCUGAGGUGCGAAAGCGUGGGGAGCAAACAGG
This 253-nucleotide ribosomal RNA is filed under the name uncultured bacterium. RNAcentral's name for it is "partial 16S ribosomal RNA". It matches the Rfam family "Bacterial small subunit ribosomal RNA", at positions 524 to 776 of the family's 1533-position model. The record is from RNAcentral.